UACAGAGGGGGCAAGCGUUGUUCGGAAUUACUGGGCGUAAAGGGCGCGUAGGCGGCCUUCUAAGUCGAACGUGAAAUCCCCGGGCUCAACCCGGGAACUGCGUCCGAUACUGGAAGGCUUGAAUCCGGGAGAGGGAUGCGGAAUUCCAGGUGCAGCGGUGAAAUGCGUAGAUAUCUGGAGGAACACCGGUGGCGAAGGCGGCAUCCUGGACCGGCAUUGACGCUGAGGCGCGAAAGCCAGGGGAGCAAACGGG
RNAcentral lists this ribosomal RNA (253 nucleotides) under uncultured bacterium. Its description in RNAcentral is "partial 16S ribosomal RNA". It matches the Rfam family "Bacterial small subunit ribosomal RNA", at positions 524 to 776 of the family's 1533-position model. The record is from RNAcentral.